UGAAUUUAUAUGACAGAAGAUGUUCAACGCCUCCAUGUGGACUGACGUAUCCUGCUGGAGUCGGACUGGGAGGUGUCGGUACAGGAGCUAAAGCACCCAAACCAGGCUAUGGCGGUCUCGGAGUCGGUGGUGGAUAUCAACCAGGUGCUCUUGGUGUUGUUCCUGGUUAUGGAGGAGGCUACCCACAACAG
This is a long non-coding RNA of Lampris incognitus (smalleye Pacific opah), 191 nucleotides long. RefSeq lists it as uncharacterized. Lineage: Eukaryota; Metazoa; Chordata; Actinopteri; Lampriformes; Lampridae. The record is from RefSeq and is a predicted model, not a curated record. The transcript is spliced from 4 exons.